UAGCCCUCCUAAACCGACUUCGAGAGAGUACCUCACUACCCUACGAUCAAAUUAAUCUUGUCCGUCGAUGUUGAUACCAGGCGCCUAUAAAAGGCGCACCUCUGUUAUUGGUUUGACGAAGCAUCUGGUUCUCGGUGUAGCGUAUAUGAUGGUUUCGUCGGUGCGGCGGUGUUUUGGUUUGUGGAUCGUCGAUAGUUGGUGGUGGCUUAUUUGUUGUAGAUCCGUGCUACGAUGAUGGAUUGUUUUGAGUUUGCGAGGCCUGGUGUUCGAUAGGAGUUUAAUUCGUCCCUCUUUAUUUAUUUGAUUUGGUCUUUGAUCGUGCUUCUUCUUGCGGCUGUGGCUUCUACUUGAUUUCUCGUGUGCUCUUCUGUGAUGUAGAAUUCGUGAGGGCGUUUAAUAUGAUGCGUGCAGUCGUCUUAUCGGCGUCGGAUCUCAGAUCUUGGUUUAUUGGUUUAUCGAUUCGUGUUUUCGUUUUAGAUCGUUCCCCUCUACGCGUUUUGGUUACUGCCUGACUUUUUGGUAAUACUUCCGUUGUAGAGAUCCUCGAUCUGUGUCGGUGGAUUGCCAAAUCGUGCACUGGAGUCUGAUUCUGAAUUGCUUCUCGGUGGUUUUCGGAUAUUUGGUUUUUAUCCAUAUUUAGUUUUGUUCCAGAACGUGCUACUUUUACAUGCUAUGGUUGCUACCUGAUUCGUUGGUCUCUCCUUUUGUGUCGUAGAGUUCGUGCGGAUUGUAAUCCUUCGGCGAUUUUGCUAUACAAGGACCGACAGCUGAUAUAAGCGAUUGGAUCUCGGUUACCUGAUCUAUUAAUCUCUAGUUUUUUUUUAGAACGUUCCUUUUGUCUCUGUUCCGGUGAUUGCCUGAUAGCCCUGGGUUUCUCCUUUCUCUGUUGUGGAAUUUGUGCAGAUAGUAAGCGUGGCUCCGGUCCACUCUAACAAGUGCUCAUGUCUCCUAUGACACCGGAUCUAAGUUUCAGAGCCUAUUGAUCUAUAGUUUCCAUUUUCCCUUUUAAAAAUUUUAAAAGAUCGUUCGUUAUUCUCUGUUUCAAUUUUGCCUGAUCUUUUGGUAUUCUAAUUUCCUGCUGUAGAGAUUGUGCGAAUCGUUAUUCUGGCGAUCUGCUCUUAACAAGUGCUGGCUGUUCAUAGAGGACCAGAGUCGGUUAAAUCGUUUAUCUACCUCUAGUUAGGGUUUAAAAUUCUUUAUUAUUUGUUUUUUUGGUCUUUUAACCUUUUUUGGUGUAGACUGUGCUGGACGUUAUGUUGGAGAUGGUUUGCCUAAGAAGUGCUUGUCUAUUGACCUGUGAUCGGACCUCAGUUUGUUUGUUUAAAUUAAUCUUUGGUGUUGAUUCAGAAUAUGCCACAUCGGUGUGAUCUAUUCCUGCCUGACCACCGGUUUUCUUUCUGUUGUAGAGUUUGUGUUUCCAGCUGUGGUUUGCCUUAACAAGCAGGGGAAGUUGAUUUGGGAGUGAUUUAUAUAUUUAGUCUGUUAAUCUGUGUUUGCUUUCUUCCGAUCUCCUUUUGCCCAGCCUAAUUGCUUGGUAUCUGCUGUGUUGUAGGCUUUUGUGGUUUCCUUAAGUCGCAUGGAUUCGUUUAUGAAGGGCAAUGCUCUAGGGUUUUUAAUCUUCAGUUUCAAUUUGGCUCUAGUUUUUCAUUCAUUGCCUCUGCUCUGCUCUCUCUUUCGCUGCCGUUUAUUCUAAUGUCUUAAAAUGAUUUUUCAAUGCAGUGAAAGAGUUUAUUGGCCAAAAGUGCUUUCGGUGCUUUACAGAAAGUUUUGGUUUGUUUACAUGAUUUCUUAAUUUCCUUUUGGCAGUCAUGAUAAUUAAGUACCUAUGAAAUUUCUAAUUCUGGUCCGUAGAAGCUGGUCUUUUGUGUUGGAGGUUUUCUUGCAGAUAAUUUAUGAUUCCAACUGCUCUAUCUGUUUUGAAGCGUUGAUUUCUUGGGUAAUUUAGAGCUAUAACAAACGCUGGGGAUGUCCCUUUCGCAUCAUGCUGUGUUUUGGCUGUCUUCCUUUAGAUCUUUCUUAAAGUUAUUGUGGCUUUUCUGUGAAGAUUUCUCUUGCAUUUAAAAUUAGGUCAUGACCUGCCUGUUGCAGCCCCUGUUUUAUUUUUACAUGCUAUUGUUGCCUUCUCAAUUUUGUUGCAGAACUUACUAAUAUGUAAGUGAGGCUGUGGUGGUAAUUGACUAGUCGAAGUAUUGGUGAUAUACUUGGUUUAGUUUAUUUCUUUCUAAUCCCUCAGCUUCUUAGCCUAAACUUUCAUGAUUCUUUAGUUUUUGUUUUGCAUAUGCCCUUGAUUUUUUUGCAGAAUUUUGGGUAUGUUGCCAAGGCUGUCUUUAGAGAGGAGCUUCUGUGUGCCUUCUUUUCUGCUGUUGGAGCUAAGGAUUUGUAGCCUUUGUAGCCACCAUUUGGUGUUUUGUAUGCCUGGAAAAUUUAGUAUGAUCUUACCAGCAUGUACCCGCACCUAAUGGUAGUAUCAGGCAUCAGUAAUCUGUCGUAAAUAUUCUUCACAAUUAGUUUAUUUAUUUUCAAGUUGAAUUUGUAAUCUUUGAACAUCCUUCUCUUUGGGCCUUGUUUUCCCUAGUGUGGUUUUGGUUUUUACAUGAUUUUCAGGCAGCAUGGCACAGGUUUCUUCAGUAGUCUCUAUUGUUAUUGUCCACGACAUCUUUCCUUGUACAUGCAUGACUUGUCAUGAUACGUUUCAUUUUAUAUAGAAUCUGCAAGACUGGUGCAAGUUUGAACUUGAUGAGGAAUGGUCCUACAUAAUAUAAGUUUAGGAACCUGGUUGGUGCAAGCUCGAAUUGGAGGAAAAUGCUUUUAAAGGGUGUCAUGAGUUGGAAGUUUCUAAGUAACCUAUCCAGAUCCUUUAUUUUGAAGCUUCUAUAACGAGGUUGCCCUUAUUUUGGCUGUCAAGGAACAAAUCUACUUCAAAUCUGUUUAUGCGUAUCUUAUGGGGAUUGUAACAUAUAUUUCUAAGUUGGUCUCUGAUUGUGCCUCCCCUUCAUGUAUUCUGGUUUCUGUCAGAUUUCACCUUUGCUUAUGUAUGGAUUGAAUUCUAGGAUAUAUUGGGAUUGCACCUGUCCUUUGUGGUUUGGUUUCUGUCAGAUUUCAUUAUCCUUUUAAACAUGGAUUUAAUGUCUAGGAAAUGGGAUUGUCUCUCCCCCUUAAUGUGGACUUAUCAGAUUUUAAUUUCCCUUUACUCCAUGUGGAUUUAAGUAUUGGAAACUGAGUUGGUUCUUAUUGAGAAGUACUCCUUAGAGCUUGCUGACAGACUGGAUGAGGUAAAUGGCUUCUUUUGGUUUCGAAGCAUGUGCUCUGCAGCAUUGCGUUAUGUUUGCAUUGAAGCGACCGUUGAAUAUAGGUUGCCCACAUCCCCUAAGCAUGAUUCCUUCAUUCAUUAUGUUUAUGUGGUGGCUUUGACAGUAAGAAAUGAUUUACAUGAUUUUCUGAUGGUUUCUCUCGACUGAUGGAGCUGAAGGUGACAUGUUGAAGUUUGUAUUUUGUGUUUCUCUAGUAUUGAGGACAUUUUAUUUAUUGGAGUAUACCCUGCAGUCGCUUUGAUGCUUUAUUUUUCGCCGUGUGACCAGCUUCUGGUCAGCUAGUCAAGCUCUGUUCGAGGUUGUGAAUAUCUAAAACUAUCAGAUCCUCCAAAUAGUGUCUAUACAUGCUCUUUGGUUUCUGAUGGUGUUAUAAGUGGAUUGAACCUGCUGCUUCUAAGAUGAGGAGAUGAUUUUAAAAUGAUACUUGAGGUAUCUAUAGAUGGUUAUUCUGUGCAAGUCAGCUCUCUGUUUUUGCUUUGCAUUAUUUUGCAUGGUUAGUCUGUUUUGAUUUUGUGGAUGGAACUCCUAUUUUAGGAUAUGAUAUGAUGGUUCACAGUGUUUCUGGUGUGUGUGAGUGCUGGUGAAGUUUUGAUCUCAAGUUGGUAAAAGAUGCUGUGUUAAAAAUUUCAACUGUGAUGUCCUGGUGAUGAUGUCUCUAGUAGAAUCCUCAAGGUGGCUAAGAGCUGUUGCCUGACUUAGAACUUUGGCCUGCGCUGUCCAAAUGACUGGUUUCUACUUACGUUACUUUGGGUCCAAUUUGCUUGGAGUUGAAGUGCUUUUCUCAGCCAGCUACUCUUCGAUAUUGUUGGUCCUCGUCUUCUGCUUAAUGUAACCAUUUCGUUUGUGUAUGCUGUAGCGAUCUGCCUAUGGGAUACAGUUGUAACAUUUGUCUAGUUGUUUGGUCUGUUGUGCUAUUGAUUUAUUAUUCUUUGAGUUCUAGCUGCCUUUGGUUGGUAGCAAUGCUCUUAGAUAGAAUAUAUACUUGUCACUUGUAUAUUUUAAUUGUAUUGCUUUAGCCCUUUAUGAACGGAUAAUGUUUAGUAGGAAGGGCUAAUACUUUGUAGGUUUGAAAUCUAAUGUCAAGUAUCUAGUGGAUUUCCAUCUUACUGUUACUACAUCAAUGCAAUCAUCAUUAUUCUACACUUAA
This is a long non-coding RNA of Andrographis paniculata, 4458 nucleotides long. RefSeq lists it as uncharacterized. The transcript has 2 exons. NCBI's taxonomy places the organism in Eukaryota, Viridiplantae, Streptophyta, Magnoliopsida, Lamiales, Acanthaceae. The record is from RefSeq and is a predicted model, not a curated record.